AAUAGCAGGGGAUGCCUCUUGUCAUCGUGGCAGCUUUUUUCUCUUCCAAGCACCUUUAUGUAGAAGUAAGCCUCAAGUUGACUGGGACUUACUCCCAGGGAAGAAGAUGCAAACUCGAGCAGAUCUUACCUGGAGACCCUGUGGGGAGACCCACCGUCUCCGGGUGGGGCGGGGAGACUCGGCGACUACAGAGACAGAAGCAGGGACGCGGAGAAGUGCCGCGGGAUUUCCCACCUUCCUUUUGGAGAAUAAAAGCGGAAUUCAGCCUCAUUUGUAUCAACCCAAGAUGUACUACUUAAAUGUAGAAACAUUUUUGUUGUUCACGCUUAAUGGACUUAAUACCC
Molecule: long non-coding RNA, 344 nt
Organism: Pogona vitticeps (central bearded dragon)
Lineage: Eukaryota; Metazoa; Chordata; Lepidosauria; Squamata; Agamidae
Source: RefSeq, a predicted model, not a curated record